GCACCGGUGGUCCAACGGCUAAGACUUCGGCCUUCCAAGCCGACUAUCUGGGUUCGAAUGCCAGCAAUCUAGGCGAGUUGGGCGGGUUACUAGUAACCCACCGCGACGAUUAGAAUGUUGGAACGAAAGUCCCAGCCGGUGCA
This 143-nucleotide transfer RNA is filed under the name Nanobdellota archaeon. RNAcentral's name for it is "tRNA-Gly". The stretch from base 7 to 65 matches the Rfam family "tRNA", at positions 7 to 64 of the family's 71-position model. Lineage: Archaea; Nanobdellati; Nanobdellota. The record is from RNAcentral.